UAGUAUUUGUUUCUGUUAGCUGAGAUAUAUAUAUUUCAAAAAUGUUUGUUUGAAUAACGUAUAAUAUGUCAGCUAUGGCCUAUGGGAAUAAACCCGAAUGAAAAACGAAUAUUUGAAUAGGUAGUACAAUAUUAUAUUUUAAUUUUCAGAUUAUGAUUUUGAGAAUAUAUUUAAAUAUCGCGGUGGAUAAAAAGUUUCGAUUCUAUAAGAUUGCCAAAAAAAUGGAACACGCCGUCAAUUUAUUGUCAUAUUAUGUCAAGUUGUACCUAGAUUGUCCGGUUUUGUGUUUCGAAGUCUCUAUAACUGUGUACGGAAGUUAUGAUGACGUACUGUACUGCUGUGUGUUAGUCAUAACAAUAUAAUAGGAGAAAAUCUUUAAGAUAAUACGCUUCAAAAACCUAUACCUGGACAUUCGCUAACAACUUAAAUAGGAUCAUCAACUGCAUUGCGUAUAGUUAUUACUUACUAUAUCCCCCCUCUACAUUAUAUUAACAGAUUUGCGUAUAAAAAGUGAAAUAUCCUUUUUUGUCUCGUUUUAAAUUAUUCAUACGUACCCACUGCCUACUUUCAUUUUCUAUAUAAUAUUAUUUUUAUGUAAGUACCUA
Molecule: long non-coding RNA, 605 nt
Organism: Acyrthosiphon pisum (pea aphid)
Lineage: Eukaryota; Metazoa; Arthropoda; Insecta; Hemiptera; Aphididae
Exons: 3
Source: RefSeq, a predicted model, not a curated record